Long non-coding RNA from Schistocerca gregaria, 1973 nucleotides. RefSeq lists it as uncharacterized. The record is from RefSeq and is a predicted model, not a curated record. The transcript has 3 exons. Lineage: Eukaryota; Metazoa; Arthropoda; Insecta; Orthoptera; Acrididae.
GUUUUAUUAACAUGUAAAUAUCGUAACAACGACGUCUCAUUGUGUUGACUGAAGGAACGUAGCACAGCAGCUGAAAUCAAAGACACUGUUCAAUUGUGUAAAAUGUAUGUUACAUUAAAAAAAACCCUCAUCAGUUCAGAAUUGAUAAAGAUGGUCAAACUUUUUAUGUACAUUACUGAAAAGGAAGGCACAGUACAAGAUUCGCUACGCUGCUUCUGCCUGUUGUUGACAAUAGUGUCUCAUUCAGAUGAAACUGCAACAUUCAUUUAGUGAAGAAGAGACCAACAUUCAUUUACUGAAGAAGAGACUGAAACACGAUUUGCAUUUGGAUAACACUUCAUUGUGGAUUGUGCAGAAAUGAAUGUACUACUCAACAGGCUUGUCUUUCAAUAGGCUUUCAGCAGAAUUGAAAAAGAAAUAAAUGAUUACCACAAGUUUUCAAUCUAAGUUGAAAGUCUUCUUUGUGGUACACUCCUCAAAACUGCAUAGUAAUGAACCAUAUAAAAUAAAGUAUUAGUGUAAUCCUAACACUAAGAGCUAGUGUGACAAAUUGACAUCAUUCAAGAUAUUUCUAUUCUGUACAGAUGUCCUUACAGUAGUUCAGAACACUUGUCUGUAACGUAUUUAUUUGUAUACUGUUCAUAUUUCUUCUUAUUUUAUUAAUUCUUUAAUUUAUUUUGUUUAUAAAUUUUCCAAUCUGCAUUGUUUAAACUGUGUAUUCACUCAUUUGAUUACAUAAUAACUUUAGUUUGCAUUGUUCCACAGACUAUGAUAAAUUAAUAAAUAAUUGUUUUAGACACAAUAAGAAACAUUCUUAGAUUAUUUUGAUCUUUCCCAGUAUUAGUUGUUGUCAAGACUCAUGCUUGGUUUGUGUCACUAUUUGUUUCAGUCUCCCAUGACCUUGUAUCAAAUCAAGUUAAUUCUCUCUGUGAAACUCCAGUCACUAGUAUUUCCCACUCUGUUUUCUCAUUUCCAUUGUCAACUCAUUUUCUCACAUUUUUUAUUUUUAACUCUUUGUGACAUAACUUUUUGGAAAUCUAACAUCAAAUUUCUCGAGAAAGAGGUAUUAAAAUUAACCAGUUUUAACACCAUCCACAAUCAAACGCUGCACUCCACAUCAUAGUAACAUACUGUGAAUAUGAUCCAUGUAACAUGCAAUUAAUUAACUAUCCAAAACAUGACUGGUUAACCUUUUCCCAGUGGAGCUGUUACAGAUGUGGUAUGUUACUAAAUUACUAGUAGCAAGUUUUAGAGUUGUCAUUUCACCAGAAUUGUCAGAUAUACUGUUUAUUAUAGCCCACUGUUUAUAGUUUAGAGUAUGUAUCGUAUACAAAUAGUGUGAUAAUGGUAGUGGCAGCAACUACUUUUGAUGUCAAAUAGUCAUGCAAAUAUUGUUGGCGUGGGAAGUAAUUUAAAAGUAGCAAUUGAAUUGUAACUGCCAGUAGUUGCUACAAGCUGAUAAAAAUAAAUGUUAAAAAUCUUAACUUACAAUUAUCUUACUGAAAUAUUAAAUUUCUCUUACAACUUUUUACAGCUGCCCAAAGGACUUUCAUAUGUUUGAACUUUCAGAUGUUUUCUGUUUGUGACAUAUGAAAUUCUAUGGUUGUGGAAGAUUGCCUUUCUGGUUCAAAUUAUUUGAAUGAUAUACAGUCAAAGGAGCUAAAUGUAGUGUUUAUAAUUAGCUGAGGCUUAAAAGCUAAGUGUUUAUGUGCCUCUUUUCACUGCAUUGCAAAAUGAAUCUGCUCUGAGGUCUAGAAAAAAGUGAGACUAAGUGAAUGAUAUAGUGAUAGCAUUAGGCCUUUUGCUGAUGAACCACAUAAGUAGCUUCUUCCAUUUUGCAUUUAAAUUGUAGUCAUUAUUAUCUGAUGUUUCCAAAUUUGUGGCAUUGCAUUAAUCACUUGCCUAGGAGAUACUCUCAUUCUCAUCAACAAUUUUCUGCACUCUGCAUUUCAUGUGUUCAACAUAAUGUAUCC